GACGAACGCUGGCGGCGUGCCUAAUACAUGCAAGUCGUGCGGACUUGAAGAGAAGCUUGCUUCUCUGAUGGUUAGCGGCGGACGGGUGAGUAACACGUAGGCAACCUGCCUGUAAGACUGGGAUAACUACCGGAAACGGUAGCUAAUACUGGAUAGGAGAUUUUCUCGCAUGAGGUAGUCAAGAAAGACGGAGCAAUCUGUGACUUAAGGAUGGGCCGGCGGCGCAUUAGCUAGUUGGUGAGGUAAUGGCUCACCAAGGCGACGAUGCGUAGCCGACCUGAGAGGGUGAACGGCCACACUGGGACUGAGACACGGCCCAGACUCCUACGGGAGGCAGCAGUAGGGAAUCUUCCGCAAUGGACGAAAGUCUGACGGAGCAACGCCGCGUGAGUGAUGAAGGUUUUCGGAUCGUAAAGCUCUGUUGCCAGGGAAGAACGUCUUAGAGAGUAACUGCUCUAAGAGUGACGGUACCUGAGAAGAAAGCCCCGGCUAACUACGUGCCAGCAGCCGCAGUAA
This 516-nucleotide ribosomal RNA is filed under the name uncultured bacterium. RNAcentral describes it as "partial 16S ribosomal RNA". It matches the Rfam family "Bacterial small subunit ribosomal RNA", at positions 28 to 523 of the family's 1533-position model. The record is from RNAcentral.